Molecule: unclassified non-coding RNA, 203 nt
Filed under: soil metagenome
Description: partial internal transcribed spacer 1
Source: RNAcentral
CCGAGUUAGGGUGUCAAACUUAUGCGCCCGACCUCCAACCCUUUGUCUACUUGACCUUAUGUUGCUUCGGCAGGCCCGCUGGUGUCCCUUUGGGGCCCGGCCGCCGGGGGUCCUCGUGGCCCCGGGUCCGCGCCUGCCGAUGGCCCCUUCUUAAACUAUUGUCAAAACGUGUCGUCUGAGUUUAUGAUUAAACAAUCAAAACA